Antechinus flavipes (yellow-footed antechinus) is the source of this 1167-nucleotide long non-coding RNA. RefSeq lists it as uncharacterized. The transcript is spliced from 3 exons. The record is from RefSeq and is a predicted model, not a curated record. NCBI's taxonomy places the organism in Eukaryota, Metazoa, Chordata, Mammalia, Dasyuromorphia, Dasyuridae.
GGGUAAUAUGUGUGCUUUAAAAAGAUCACUUUGAUAACUGAGCAAAAGAUGGAGCUGGUAAAAAAAACUUCUAAUUGGAUGACAGAACAGAGUUUUUGUGGUGGUCCAGGUAUGAGGUGAUAAGGGUGGUAUCAGGGUAAUGGUCAAAGUAGAAAAGACAUUAGAGGUUGCAUGGGACAGGGCUUGGCAACUGAUUGAUUGUGGAUGGGCAGGUGAGAAAGAAUGAGGAAUUGAAAGUCUUUGCAGACCUCAAAUCUAAAUGUAUCUGUGGUUUCUGAAGUAUCAUUUCAUCUUUACGAGGACACAAGGGACCCAAAAGUUCCACAGAAUGAAACAAUUUGUGAGACAGGGAAAUUACUGUCCUGAAUGUGAUCUAAGAAAGGAAUACAUGAGAUAGAAUCAAGGCCAGGACUUGGAAAAGAUAUGGAAAAGACCCCAGGGGAUCACCCAUAACCCAUUAUCCUGGGACUCACCCCCUAAGAAGCAGAGAAGAAAGAGACCCAGCAGGAACAGCCUCAUCAUCUUAUCCUUUGUCUGGUUUAUGGAAGCUUAUUUUACAGAUGCCCAGAAUCACACCUUUUAAUCCAGUUUGGACCAAUUCGGGAAGUGGCUGCCAUGUCUUUGAUACAUUUGUUUUAUAUUACAUUGGAACUACUUCAAUAAACUUCAAUUGACUUAAAAUAUGUGUAUAGCUUGUGUUCCUAGAUAACCAGUUCUUACUCUAUCCUUUGAAUAUCUGGACCGUAAUUAUUUUAAGAUUAGAAUUUAUCUAGAUAACUUAUAAUGCUACAUUGAUCUUAGAAAAUUUGGCAUCUGGAAGCUAUUAUGGAGGGUUCCUCAAUGAAACAAGCCUGAAGGCAUCAGCCAUUUUCUCUUUCAUCUCUUAAUUCCACCCUUAACACCUUAAAACAAAAUACAAAUAACCUCCCUCCUCCCCCCCCAAAAAAAAACAACCCAACCAAUUCUUCCUUUAUAUUUCUUGUUUACAACACUUUUCCACUUCUUUCCAUUUUAUUUUCCUAUGUUCUAUUCAAUUCUGAUCUUUUCCCCAGAAAUACUUGGAGGCCCUGUAUGUCAUUAAAGAUCCAUUCCCUCCUGAACUUUUUGUAGGACUUUAUUUUGCUGCGGAAGUUAGUCAUUUGUUUGUUUGUUUAGGCAAUUGGGAUU